GAGGUGAGGAUGGAGCUGGAUCAGAAACUACCCCAGUGGUAGAGCCUACUAAGCUGGUGCUCCCGAUGAAAGUCAACCCAUAUUCUGUCAUCGACAUCACACCAUUCCAGGAGGACCAGCCGCCCACCCCCGUGCCCAGCGCUGAGGAGGAGAAUGUGGGUCUCCAUGUGCCCUGCGGGUACUUGGUGCCUGUACCCUGCGGCUAUGCGGUGCCCUCCAACCUGCCCCUCCUGCUGCCCGCCUACUCCAGCCCGGUCAUCAUCCGCGCCACGUCCCUGGACGAAGAAGCAGAAACGGCAGAAGUCACAGAAGUUCGCCAGCCCAAUUCUCUGAGUUCCGAGGAGCCUCCAACCAGUGAAGAUCACGUCGGUCGAGAGGACAGCGCACUUGCCCGCUGGGCCGCAGACCCGGCCAACACAGCCUGGAUGGAGAAUCCAGAAGAAGCAAUUUACGAUGACGUUCCAAGGGAAAACUCAGACUCUGAACCAGGUUUGAUUUUGUCUGGAAUUGAUUUGAGGA
This 519-nucleotide small RNA is filed under the name Pan troglodytes (chimpanzee). RNAcentral describes it as "processed transcript". The record is from RNAcentral. Lineage: Eukaryota; Metazoa; Chordata; Mammalia; Primates; Hominidae.